GCCUGGGUGGCUCAGUCGGUUGAGCAUCUGACUUCGGCUCAGGUCACGAUCUCACGGUUUGUGAGUUCGAGCCCCGCAUUGGGCU
Molecule: transfer RNA, 85 nt
Filed under: Felis catus (domestic cat)
Lineage: Eukaryota; Metazoa; Chordata; Mammalia; Carnivora; Felidae
Rfam family: tRNA
About the family: Transfer RNA (tRNA) molecules are approximately 80 nucleotides in length. Their secondary structure includes four short double-helical elements and three loops (D, anti-codon, and T loops).
Source: Rfam by way of RNAcentral